This 2299-nucleotide long non-coding RNA is filed under the name Canis lupus familiaris (dog). RNAcentral describes it as "lncRNA (ENSCAFG00845007974.1)". Lineage: Eukaryota; Metazoa; Chordata; Mammalia; Carnivora; Canidae. The record is from RNAcentral.
AGUAGAAGUAGGGGUAGGUGGGGCAGGGAUGCAUUCUAGGGACUACCCAGCUAGGGGCCGGACCUGGAGAGUAUUGUCAGUGGGUGGAAAGGACUCCCCACAUACACAACUUUCCUGGGCCUCCCAAUCACAGGUGGGGAAAGGGGGCUAUAUUAGUCUUAGAGACAGGUGGACUUGUGGCCUUCUUUGCCAGGAGGGGGUUGGAAAUGUCCCAGUUUCCCUGGUCUGAACCCCUAGAAAAACUGCAGGGAGUAAAAGAGGGGGUGCUUCUCCCUGAAAUCAAAACAGCAACCCUGACAGCCCUCCCAGCCUCCACCCUAUGAGAGCAGAUGUUUGAGAGGCACUGCAGGGAGUAGAAGCCUCAUUACACAAACACACGUGCGCACACACACACACACACACACACACAUGUGCGUGCAUAUACACCACCCCCCAGCUCAGUCAUUUGUCUUGUUGGGGGCCUAGAAAGAGACACACAGACAAGGGGUCUGCUGCAGAAAAUGCUACACAGCCCCUUGCUCUGCCAAAGCAGCUCAAGACUAACGAAUCUCAGCUGUUCUCCGAAAUCAGAAAUGAGCGCCGGUGAAUGCUCCCACAGACUCGUGUAUGUGUGUGUGUGUGUGUGUGUGUGUGUGUGUGCGUGUGUGUCCCAAUUCAGACUGCUCUUCCUCCCCAUUCACUGUGAGGAUGGAUAUAAUCUUAUUUUUGUCUCUUGCUCCCCUAACACCAGGGAAUUCACUUGCUGAGUUUUCUCGUGUGUUGUAGGAACCACCGCACUGUGUGGCCUCUGGGUUCUCAUCUCUGUGUAAACAAACACGGGCUCGCACGAGCAGAGCAGGAUCUCCACUCCCUCCUGCCGCAGUAGGUCCCGAGGUCGGCCGACUGUCCGCUUAGCAAGAGGGCAGGGACACUCAGCUGCCAAGGGGUGCUGCUGGCAACCUCGGCCUUGGCAGUCCGGGAGAAGGGGAGUAAGAAGAACAACGGGAAGCUCUGAGCCUUGGGGGGUUCAGGGAGAACUCCCCCACCUUCAUCUCCAUCUUCAGAUCAGGACACAGGCCUGGACACCUGGAAUCCUUCAGCCCCUGUUAAAGGCUCUGCAUCCCAACCAGCAUUCCUCCAGAGGUCAGCCCUACAGAGCUGGAGGCCCCGGGAGGCAAGUGUCUUGGCUGCCACAGACAUACUGGGCAAGACGGGUGCCCAACUUUCCCUCUCCAGGCUGCCAUUUCCCUAACUGCAAGGUGGGGGAGCUGGACCCAGUGAUUUCUACCAUUGCUUCCAGCUCUGCUGUACUGCAGACACCUCAUCUGGGUGGGGUCAGCCAGGCAGGGCUCCGGGCAUGCUGAUGCCUGGAAGGGGUACAGAGUGAGUGGGUGAGGGGCUGAGGAAGCCACCCCACCCCCAGCUGUGGUUUCUGGUGGGGCCACCCUGGCAGCAGGUGGAGGGAAGUGUUUGUCACCCUUCCAACAAAGCAGUAAAACAAAAGCCUCCCAAGGCACUAUGGGAGCAGGCGGCAAAGGCGCCAAAAAGGCCAAAAAUAAAACACACCUUUCCUUUGAUAGACACCAGCAGCUGCCGAGGGGCCUGGCCUGGGGGUGGUGAGGAAAAGCUUAGAUUUCGUGCCUGAGAGCGCGCCCCAACACACUGACAUAUACAAGUACACACAUAUACACAUAUACAAGUUGCACAUACUCAUAUCCACAACCAGCUUCACCAGCCUGAGACCUGUGCCGUCCCAUGGAGCCUGCAUUCAGAAAGGACCCACGCUUGAUUCAAUACUCAGUUGUCUCCAUCUUGAACUUCUUAAUAACUUUUGAACAAGAGGUUCAACAUUUUCAUUUUGCACUGGACCCUACAAAUUCUGCACCAGCCCCCACCAGUGUACAUUCAUAAGUACGUACAUUCACAAUAUGCCUAAGACAUACACAGCAUCUACAUGCAAGAGUGUGUAUACUGCACACACACACACGAAAGUGUACAAAAGUACAAAUAUGUGCACACACCCCCAUCCAUGUACAGCAAUAGUCCCUUCAUCCCACUGCACACUCACUGCACACACACAUGACCCAAAGGACCAUGAAUGCUCACUAGUAGCACUCAGACACCUGCAGUUCACCCACAGUCUGAGGGGUACAGUUUGAUUACCUCAACAUUGGAAGGCAGCAGAACAAAGCUCUGGGGAAGGAGCAUGACAAUUUCCUCUGUUCCCUAGAAUCCCCAACAGCUAGAGCUGGCUUCUCUCAUCAGACUGAGACCAGCAGCUGGGACCAGAAGAAAGGUAUAGCUUGGGAAGUGGAAGGAU